GUCUAGUAUGAACGGGUAAACGAACACUUUUCUGUCUCAGCUAAUCUAGUAAAAAUUAUCCUUUAUGUGAAAAGACAUAAAUAUUAUUACAGGACAAGAAGACCCUAUAGAGCUUUAUUUCAAUUGUUUUCCCUUUCUGAAAAACAAAUAAAAAUUAGAUGGGGCGUCUCGAGAAGCCUACAAAUUAUCCUCUCUAUUCUAAGAAAGAUUUACAAAUCUCCCCUAGCUAUAUCCUCAAUAAAAAAAAAAAAAAAAAAAAUUGACUUACGAUUCUAGUUACCUUAGGGAUAACAG
This 294-nucleotide ribosomal RNA is filed under the name Heterodrilus occidentalis. RNAcentral describes it as "partial 16S ribosomal RNA". The record is from RNAcentral. Lineage: Eukaryota; Metazoa; Annelida; Clitellata; Tubificida; Naididae.